CCACCACCCAAGUUUACUUUUCCAGCGGCGGCGCCAUCCGAAGCUCCCAAGACCUCCAACAAGCAUUCUUCCUCAUCAACCCCGGUGUCUUCAAACACUUCCUUCGCAGCAAGAUGGCCGUCGGCUUCGUCGUUCCUGAGGUCAAAUCUCCACCCCGUCUCCUGUAUUUUUCUUCAUAUCCCUGUUCACUCGCAAUUCAUUUUACUGAAUACCUUUCUUUUUUUUCUCUUUGUAUUUCUUUUUAUCCCAAAAAUCACUAGGAAUUGUCCAAUAAAAUUGUCAU
This 283-nucleotide long non-coding RNA is filed under the name Sorghum bicolor (sorghum). Its description in RNAcentral is "long non-coding RNA (SBIC_LNC008669)". The record is from RNAcentral. Lineage: Eukaryota; Viridiplantae; Streptophyta; Magnoliopsida; Poales; Poaceae.